This 460-nucleotide ribosomal RNA is filed under the name uncultured bacterium. RNAcentral's name for it is "partial 16S ribosomal RNA". It matches the Rfam family "Bacterial small subunit ribosomal RNA", at positions 338 to 795 of the family's 1533-position model. The record is from RNAcentral.
CCUACGGGUGGCAGCAGUGAGGAAUAUUGGUCAAUGGACGAGAGUCUGAACCAGCCAAGUAGCGUGAAGGAUGACUGCCCUAUGGGUUUUAAACUUCUUUUAUAUGGGAAUAAAAUGUUCCACGUGUGGCAUUUUGUAUGUACCUUAUGAAUAAGGAUCGGCUAACUCCGUGCCAGCAGCCGCGGUAAUACGGAGGAUCCGAGCGUUAUCCGGAUUUAUUGGGUUUAAAGGGAGCGUAGGUGGAUUGUUAAGUCAGUUGUGAAAGUUUGCGGCUCAACCGUAAAAUUGCAGUUGAAACUGGCAGUCUUGAGUACAGUAGAGGUGGGCGGAAUUCGUGGUGUAGCGGUGAAAUGCUUAGAUAUCACGAAGAACUCCGAUUGCGAAGGCAGCUCACUGAACUGCAACUGACACUGAGGCUCGAAAGUGUGGGUAUCAAACAGGAUUAGAUACCCUUGUAGUC